UACGGAGGGUGCAAGCGUUAUCCGGAUUCACUGGGUUUAAAGGGUGCGUAGGCGGGUUGGUAAGUCCGUGGUGAAAUCUCCGAGCUUAACUCGGAAACUGCCGUGGAUACUAUCAAUCUUGAAUAUCGUGGAGGUAAGCGGAAUAUGUCAUGUAGCGGUGAAAUGCUUAAAUAUGACAUAGAACACCAAUUGCGUAGGCAGCUUACUACACGAUCAUUGACGCUGAGGCACGAAAGCGUGGGGAGCAAACAGG
RNAcentral lists this ribosomal RNA (253 nucleotides) under uncultured bacterium. RNAcentral describes it as "partial 16S ribosomal RNA". It matches the Rfam family "Bacterial small subunit ribosomal RNA", at positions 524 to 776 of the family's 1533-position model. The record is from RNAcentral.